CUUGGGGCCAGGCCACAGGACCGACAAUGAGACUGUUUCAUCAUAAGGUCCUUUUGGCGGAGGGCUAAGCCAGAGCCUUUAUGCCAAAUUCUGCUCAUUUGAAUAUGGUGCUCCCAUGAGUUUUGUGACAAUACCUCCAUCAUCAUUGACUCAGAUGCCCUGCUGCAGCUCUCCUCCCACAGCUGAGCCCAUUAUGCGCUCCAAGCUCCUGGACCCACGGGAGGAACAAAGAACGAUGUGGGUUUUUCCCUGAGGUACCUUAAAGCAUUCGUUGGUACGAGGUGAAGGUGUUAGUGAGUGAAGACGCUGGCUGGGGCUGAGAGACCGCGCUCCUGGACGUCUUCCUCAGGUUCUGGGACAGGUUUGCAGGUUCCUGUGGUUCUGCUGGGGUUGGAUAGGAUCAGCUGCAUCUCCUUCUAAGCUGUGGAUUGGAUUUAGGCCUGCUCUCCACAUCUCUCAUUCUCUUUGGGUCAGCAGCUCCCUGGGACGUGUUCUUCUGAAGGUGAAGAGCAAAAGCAUGGAGCCAGGUCGAAUUACAGGAGCACACAGCAAGUCUCUGCUCAUGCCAUGUUUCUUUACAUUGCCCACAAUAAAUCACACGGCCAAGC
Molecule: long non-coding RNA, 608 nt
Filed under: Equus caballus (horse)
Lineage: Eukaryota; Metazoa; Chordata; Mammalia; Perissodactyla; Equidae
Description: lncRNA (ENSECAG00000043640.2)
Source: RNAcentral